AGGUGCCACUGAGGACUGCAACAGCCAUGUGCUGUGCCCAGCAAACGCCAAGUGUGUGAACAACACCCACUGCACCUGCCUGGAUGGAUACCAGUCACAUGAGAAUCGCUUCUUCAAUGACACAACAGAGACCUGUGACGAUAUUAACGAGUGUUUGGGGUCGAGCCCAGCAGACUGCGGAUGCAACGCAAACUGCAACAACGUGGCUGGGAGUUACCACUGCACCUGCAUCAAUGGCUACAAGCCCAGCUCUGGGGAAGCCAACUUCACGCACGCGAGUGAGAACACCUGCCAGGAUAUUGACGAGUGUCAGGAUCCGAGCCUGGCAGACUGCGGACCCCACGCAAACUGCACCAAUGUGCCUGGAAAUUACUCCUGCAGCUGCAUCGAUGGCUACGAGGCCAGCUCUGAGAAAGCCAACUUCACACACGCGAGU
Molecule: long non-coding RNA, 436 nt
Filed under: Chrysemys picta bellii (western painted turtle)
Lineage: Eukaryota; Metazoa; Chordata; Testudines; Emydidae
Description: lncRNA (ENSCPBG00000011643.1)
Source: RNAcentral